This 673-nucleotide ribosomal RNA is filed under the name Aptornis defossor (South Island adzebill). RNAcentral describes it as "partial 12S ribosomal RNA". It matches the Rfam family "Bacterial small subunit ribosomal RNA", at positions 356 to 1380 of the family's 1533-position model. The record is from RNAcentral. Lineage: Eukaryota; Metazoa; Chordata; Aves; Gruiformes; Aptornithidae.
AAUUAACAUUAAGCAAUAAGUGUAAACUUGACUUAGUUAUGGCAACAUAUAGGGCUGGUAAAUCUUGUGCCAGCCACCGCGGUCACACAAGAAGCCCAAAUUAACUGUAAUCCGGCGUAAAGAGUGGCAACAUGCUAUCACCCAACUAAGAUCAAAAUGCACCUAAGCUGUUAUAAGCUCAUGAUGCACUUAAGACCACCCUCAAAACGAUCCUAGCACUAACGAUCAAUUAUACCCACGAAAGCCAGGGCACAAACUGAGAUUAGACACCCCACUAUGCCUGGCCCUAAAUCCAGAUGCUUACUUCACCAAAGUAUCCGCCUGAGAACUACGAGCACAAACGCUUAAAACUCUAAGGACUUGGCGGUGCCCCAAACCCACCUAGAGGAGCCUGUUCUAUAAUCGAUAACCCACGCUACACCCGACCGCCUCUCGCCACAAAGCAGCCUACAUACCGCCGUCGCCAGCUCACCUUCACUGAAAGCCCCAACAGUGAGCACAACAGCCACCCGCUAACAAGACAGGUCAAGGUAUAGCCUAUGAGACGGAAGAAAUGGGCUACAUUUUCUAAAAUAGAAUACCCCAACGAAAGAGGAAAUGAAACCUUUCCCCAGAAGGCGGAUUUAGCAGUAAAGAAAAACAACAAUGUUUUCUUUAAACCAGGCCCUGGGGC